AGGAACAAACAAAUCAUAAUGAUUUUUAUCUCUAUUUCCAGUCAUCUUUUGAUGUUUUGUAAUGGCUUCAUCAGAAUUCU
Molecule: transfer RNA, 80 nt
Filed under: Prunus campanulata (Taiwan cherry)
Lineage: Eukaryota; Viridiplantae; Streptophyta; Magnoliopsida; Rosales; Rosaceae
Description: tRNA-Leu
Source: RNAcentral